RNAcentral lists this ribosomal RNA (2901 nucleotides) under Escherichia coli. RNAcentral describes it as "23S ribosomal RNA". It matches the Rfam family "Bacterial large subunit ribosomal RNA". Lineage: Bacteria; Pseudomonadati; Pseudomonadota; Gammaproteobacteria; Enterobacterales; Enterobacteriaceae. The record is from RNAcentral.
UUAAGCGACUAAGCGUACACGGUGGAUGCCCUGGCAGUCAGAGGCGAUGAAGGACGUGCUAAUCUGCGAUAAGCGUCGGUAAGGUGAUAUGAACCGUUAUAACCGGCGAUUUCCGAAUGGGGAAACCCAGUGUGUUUCGACACACUAUCAUUAACUGAAUCCAUAGGUUAAUGAGGCGAACCGGGGGAACUGAAACAUCUAAGUACCCCGAGGAAAAGAAAUCAACCGAGAUUCCCCCAGUAGCGGCGAGCGAACGGGGAGGAGCCCAGAGCCUGAAUCAGUGUGUGUGUUAGUGGAAGCGUCUGGAAAGGCGCGCGAUACAGGGUGACAGCCCCGUACACAAAAAUGCACAUGCUGUGAGCUCGAUGAGUAGGGCGGGACACGUGGUAUCCUGUCUGAAUAUGGGGGGACCAUCCUCCAAGGCUAAAUACUCCUGACUGACCGAUAGUGAACCAGUACCGUGAGGGAAAGGCGAAAAGAACCCCGGCGAGGGGAGUGAAAAAGAACCUGAAACCGUGUACGUACAAGCAGUGGGAGCCUCUUUUAUGGGGUGACUGCGUACCUUUUGUAUAAUGGGUCAGCGACUUAUAUUCUGUAGCAAGGUUAACCGAAUAGGGGAGCCGAAGGGAAACCGAGUCUUAACUGGGCGUUAAGUUGCAGGGUAUAGACCCGAAACCCGGUGAUCUAGCCAUGGGCAGGUUGAAGGUUGGGUAACACUAACUGGAGGACCGAACCGACUAAUGUUGAAAAAUUAGCGGAUGACUUGUGGCUGGGGGUGAAAGGCCAAUCAAACCGGGAGAUAGCUGGUUCUCCCCGAAAGCUAUUUAGGUAGCGCCUCGUGAAUUCAUCUCCGGGGGUAGAGCACUGUUUCGGCAAGGGGGUCAUCCCGACUUACCAACCCGAUGCAAACUGCGAAUACCGGAGAAUGUUAUCACGGGAGACACACGGCGGGUGCUAACGUCCGUCGUGAAGAGGGAAACAACCCAGACCGCCAGCUAAGGUCCCAAAGUCAUGGUUAAGUGGGAAACGAUGUGGGAAGGCCCAGACAGCCAGGAUGUUGGCUUAGAAGCAGCCAUCAUUUAAAGAAAGCGUAAUAGCUCACUGGUCGAGUCGGCCUGCGCGGAAGAUGUAACGGGGCUAAACCAUGCACCGAAGCUGCGGCAGCGACACUGUGUGUUGUUGGGUAGGGGAGUGUUCUGUAAGCCUGUGAAGGUGUACUGUGAGGUAUGCUGGAGGUAUCAGAAGUGCGAAUGCUGACAUAAGUAACGAUAAAGCGGGUGAAAAGCCCGCUCGCCGGAAGACCAAGGGUUCCUGUCCAACGUUAAUCGGGGCAGGGUGAGUCGACCCCUAAGGCGAGGCCGAAAGGCGUAGUCGAUGGGAAACAGGUUAAUAUUCCUGUACUUGGUGUUACUGCGAAGGGGGGACGGAGAAGGCUAUGUUGGCCGGGCGACGGUUGUCCCGGUUUAAGCGUGUAGGCUGGUUUUCCAGGCAAAUCCGGAAAAUCAAGGCUGAGGCGUGAUGACGAGGCACUACGGUGCUGAAGCAACAAAUGCCCUGCUUCCAGGAAAAGCCUCUAAGCAUCAGGUAACAUCAAAUCGUACCCCAAACCGACACAGGUGGUCAGGUAGAGAAUACCAAGGCGCUUGAGAGAACUCGGGUGAAGGAACUAGGCAAAAUGGUGCCGUAACUUCGGGAGAAGGCACGCUGAUAUGUAGGUGAAGCGACUUGCUCGUGGAGCUGAAAUCAGUCGAAGAUACCAGCUGGCUGCAACUGUUUAUUAAAAACACAGCACUGUGCAAACACGAAAGUGGACGUAUACGGUGUGACGCCUGCCCGGUGCCGGAAGGUUAAUUGAUGGGGUCAGCGCAAGCGAAGCUCUUGAUCGAAGCCCCGGUAAACGGCGGCCGUAACUAUAACGGUCCUAAGGUAGCGAAAUUCCUUGUCGGGUAAGUUCCGACCUGCACGAAUGGCGUAAUGAUGGCCAGGCUGUCUCCACCCGAGACUCAGUGAAAUUGAACUCGCUGUGAAGAUGCAGUGUACCCGCGGCAAGACGGAAAGACCCCGUGAACCUUUACUAUAGCUUGACACUGAACAUUGAGCCUUGAUGUGUAGGAUAGGUGGGAGGCUUAGAAGUGUGGACGCCAGUCUGCAUGGAGCCGACCUUGAAAUACCACCCUUUAAUGUUUGAUGUUCUAACGUUGACCCGUGAUCCGGGUUGCGGACAGUGUCUGGUGGGUAGUUUGACUGGGGCGGUCUCCUCCUAAAGAGUAACGGAGGAGCACGAAGGUUGGCUAAUCCUGGUCGGACAUCAGGAGGUUAGUGCAAUGGCAUAAGCCAGCUUGACUGCGAGCGUGACGGCGCGAGCAGGUGCGAAAGCAGGUCAUAGUGAUCCGGUGGUUCUGAAUGGAAGGGCCAUCGCUCAACGGAUAAAAGGUACUCCGGGGAUAACAGGCUGAUACCGCCCAAGAGUUCAUAUCGACGGCGGUGUUUGGCACCUCGAUGUCGGCUCAUCACAUCCUGGGGCUGAAGUAGGUCCCAAGGGUAUGGCUGUUCGCCAUUUAAAGUGGUACGCGAGCUGGGUUUAGAACGUCGUGAGACAGUUCGGUCCCUAUCUGCCGUGGGCGCUGGAGAACUGAGGGGGGCUGCUCCUAGUACGAGAGGACCGGAGUGGACGCAUCACUGGUGUUCGGGUUGUCAUGCCAAUGGCACUGCCCGGUAGCUAAAUGCGGAAGAGAUAAGUGCUGAAAGCAUCUAAGUACGAAACUUGCCCCGAGAUGAGUUCUCCCUGACCCUUUAAGGGUCCUGAAGGAACGUUGAAGACGACGACGUUGAUAGGCCGGGUGUGUAAGCGCAGCGAUGCGUUGAGCUAACCGGUACUAAUGAACCGUGAGGCUUAACCUU